GAUGAACGCUGACAGAAUGCUUAACACAUGCAAGUCGAUGGGGAAGUGGUGCUUGCACCAUGGUAACCAUGGCGGACGGGUGAGUAACGCGUAAGGAACUUGCCUGCGGGACCGGGAUAACAGCAGGAAACUGCUGACAAGACCGGAUAAGGUCAUUAAGCCGCAUAGCUUAGUGAUGAAAGGAGACGCCUGCGGAGAGCCUUGCGUCCUAUUAGCUAGUUGGAGGGGUAACGGCCCACCAAGGCGAAGAUAGGUAGCCGGCCUGAGAGGGUGGACGGCCACAAGGGGACUGAGAUACGGCCCUUACUCCUACGGGAGGCAGCAGUGGGGAAUAUUGGACAAUGGGGGCAACCCUGAUCCAGCAAUUCUGUGUGCACGAAGACGGUUUUCGGAUUGUAAAGUGCUUUCAGCAGGGAAGAAGUAAGUGACGGUACCUGCAGAAGAAGCGACGGCUAAUUACGUGCCAGCAGCCGCGGUAAUACGUAUGUCGCGAGCGUUAUCCGGAAUUAUUGGGCAUAAAGGGCAUCUAGGCGGCCUUUCAAGUCAGGGGUGAAAACCUGCGGCUCAACCGCAGGCCUGCCUUUGAAACUGAUAGGCUGGAGUACCGGAGAGGUGGACGGAACUGCACGAGUAGAGGUGAAAUUCGUAGAUAUGUGCAGGAAUGCCGAUGAUGAAGAUAGUUCACUGGACGGCAACUGACGCUGAAGUGCGAAAGCCGGGGGAGCGAACAGG
Molecule: ribosomal RNA, 732 nt
Filed under: uncultured Leptotrichia sp.
Lineage: Bacteria; Fusobacteriati; Fusobacteriota; Fusobacteriia; Fusobacteriales; Leptotrichiaceae
Description: bacterial SSU rRNA
Rfam family: Bacterial small subunit ribosomal RNA
Source: RNAcentral